UUGGAGGCAAGUCUGGUGCCAGCAGCCGCGGUAAUUCCAGCUCCAAUAGCGUAUAUUAAAGUUGUUGCAGUUAAAAGCUCGUAGUUGAAUUUCGGGGUUAGUAGGUUGGUCAUGCCUCUGGUAUGUACUGGUCUCACUGAUUCCUCCUUCCUUAUGAACCGUAAUGCCAUUAAUUUGGUGUUGCGGGGAAUUUGGACUGUUACUUUGAAAAAAUUGAGUGUUUAAAGCAAGCUAACGCUUGAAUACAUUAGCAUGGAAUAAUGAAAUAGGACG
This 273-nucleotide ribosomal RNA is filed under the name uncultured Glomus. RNAcentral's name for it is "partial 18S ribosomal RNA". It matches the Rfam family "Eukaryotic small subunit ribosomal RNA", at positions 548 to 829 of the family's 1831-position model. The record is from RNAcentral. Lineage: Eukaryota; Fungi; Glomeromycota; Glomeromycetes; Glomerales; Glomeraceae.